Molecule: ribosomal RNA, 1824 nt
Filed under: Parastacus pilimanus
Lineage: Eukaryota; Metazoa; Arthropoda; Malacostraca; Decapoda; Parastacidae
Description: SSU rRNA
Rfam family: Eukaryotic small subunit ribosomal RNA
Source: RNAcentral
UCAUAUGCUUGUCUCAAAGAUUAAGCCAUGCAUGUGUAAGUACAAGCCGAGUUAAGGCGAAACCGCGAAUGGCUCAUUAAACCAGCUAUGUUUCAUUGGAUCUGUAAACCCACUUACUUGGAUAACUGUGGUAAUUCUAGAGCUAAUACAUGCAUCACGUCUCUGACCGCAAGGGAAGAGCGCUUUUAUUAGUUCAAAACUGGUCGGGCCUCGGUCCGUUAACCCACUUGUGGUGAAACUGAAUAACUUUUCGCUGAGCGCACGGUCUCCGCACUGGCGCCGCGUCUUUCAAGUGUCUGCCUUAUCAGCUUUCGAUUGUAGGUUAUGCGCUUACAAUGGCUAUAACGGGUAACGGGGAAUCAGGGUUCGAUUCCGGAGAGGGAGCCUGAGAAACGGCUACCACAUCUAAGGAAGGCAGCAGGCGCGCAAAUUACCCACUCCCGGCACGGGGAGGUAGUGACGAAAAAUAACGAUGCGAGACUCAUCCGAGGCCUCGUAAUUGGAAUGAGUACACUUUAAAUCCUUUAACGAGGAUCAAUUGGAGGGCAAGUCUGGUGCCAGCAGCCGCGGUAAUUCCAGCUCCAAUAGCGUAUAUUAAAGUUGUUGCGGUUAAAAAGCUCGUAGUUGGCUCUCAGUUCCGGACUGACGGUGCACCGCCCAGGUGUUUAUUGUCACGCUCCGAACAGCUAACGCCCGGCCGGCUCGCACGGGGUGCUCUUUACCGAGUGUCCCGGGUGGCCGGCAAGUUUACUUUGAAAAAAUUAGAGUGCUCAGAGCAGGCUACGUGAAUGGCCCGAAUGUCUAUGCAUGGAAUAAUGGAAUAGGACCUCGGUUCUAUUUUGUUGGUUUUCGGAACCUGAGGUAAUGACUAAUCGGAACAGGCGGGGGCAUUCGUAUUGCGACGCUAGAGGUGAAAUUCUUGGACCGUCGCAAGACGAACUACUGCGAAAGCAUUUGCCAAGGAUGUUUUCAUUAAUCAAGAACGAAAGUUAGAGGUUCGAAGGCGAUCAGAUACCGCCCUAGUUCUAACCGUAAACGAUGCCAACUAACGAUCCGCCGGCGUUAUUCCCAUGACCCGGCGGGCAGCUUCCGGGAAACCAAAGUCUUUGGGUUCCGGGGGUAGUAUGGUUGCAAAGCUGAAACUUAAAGGAAUUGACGGAAGGGCACCACCAGGAGUGGAGCCUGCGGCUUAAUUUGACUCAACACGGGGAACCUCACCAGGCCCGGACACCGGAAAGAUUGACAGAUUGAGAGUUCUUUCUCGAUUCGGUGGGUGGUGGUGCAUGGCCGUUCUUAGUUGGUGGAGCGAUUUGUCUGGUUAAUUCCGAUAACGAACGAGACUCUGGCCUAUUAACUAGUCGACGGAUCUCCAGCAAUUGGUGUCCAGUUCGCAACUUCUUCUUAGAGGGAUAAGCGGUAAUUCUAGCCGCACGAGAUUGAGCAAUAACAGGUCUGUGAUGCCCUUAGAUGUUCUGGGCCGCACGCGCGCUACACUGAAGGGAUCAACGUGUUUUCCCCCUCCGAGAGGAGCGGGUAACCCGUUCAAACCCCUUCAUGAUAGGGAUUGGGGCUUGCAAUUGUUUCCCAUGAACGAGGAAUUCCUAGUAAGUGCAAGUCAUCAGCUUGCGCUGAUUACGUCCCUGCCCUUUGUACACACCGCCCGUCGCUACUACCGAUUGAAUGAGUUAGUGAGGCCUUCGGACUGGCGCUCUUGGAUGUCCUACCCCGCGCGUCUCGGCGCAAGUCGGGGUUCUCGCCUCGAGCUGACGGAAAGAUGUCCAAACUUGAUCAUUUAGAGGAAGUAAAAGUCGUAACAAGGUUUCC